Molecule: long non-coding RNA, 8900 nt
Filed under: Triticum aestivum (bread wheat)
Lineage: Eukaryota; Viridiplantae; Streptophyta; Magnoliopsida; Poales; Poaceae
Description: long non-coding RNA (TAES_LNC024537)
Source: RNAcentral
UUUUUUUUUUUAGGUUAACUAGGGAAUUUAUUCAAGGUUCAAAAAUUCAGGGAAAUAGAUAAUAUCCGGAACUAACCCUAGCCACAAGUGUCGUCCCACAUCUAGGGAGGACGCUGCUUUUGCUAACAUAUGAGCUUCGUAAUUAGCUUCCUGAGGUUCAAACCGGAAGCAAACAUCAUCAAAAUCAUUCCUUCGAUACUGAAUCUCGUUCAGAAUUGAGGCAUAAGUGGCAGAUGUCCCCUUAUUGAUACCAUUGAUGACCUCCAAGCAAUCAGCCGCCACCACCACAUUCCUCAAGGCAAGGUCUUGGGCAAGAGCCAUCCCCUCAUUGCAUGCAUAGGUCUUCAAGCAGGCUGGGUCCACAAGGCCAUCAAAGAUGAUGGCUGAGGCGCCUAGGUAAUGUCCAUUGCUAUCUCUGCAAACAGCGGCUGCUGCUCCCCUAUUUCCAUUCCGCGAUACACCUCCAUCUGCAUUUAUUUUUACUGCUGUUCCACCAGGAGGAAUCCACUUGCGAACUCUCUGUCUUGGCGCAGGUGGUGAAGGCCUGGUAAGUUCUCUUGCAGCAGCGAUUUCAAGGUCCUGUAGAUAUCUGUUGAUAAAACACAUGGUUGGUAGGGGGCUCUGGAACUCUUCAUCGUGAAUCGCUCGUCUCCUCGCCCACCAAAUCGCCCACAGUGUGAUCAGUACACGAGCGAGAUCCUGCUGGUUAGGCCUCUUUUGGUUCAUAGGAUAGGAUUAUCGUAGUAAUAGGAAUCUUGUAGGAAAUGAGAUGACAUGUAUCUCAAAUCCUAUGAGUAGGAAUAGGAAACAAGAUGUCAUUUGGUUGACACCAAAGGAAUUUUUCCAUUGAGUCUAGGCUCAUUUUUAUUUUCCUAUGAAAUGUGAAGGAUAGGAACCAAUCCUAUAUAGUAAUAGGAAUCCAUUCCUAUGAACCAAAGGCUCUAAAGGAAAAAAAAUCCUAUAAGAAUUCUAUCCUCUAGAAUUCCUAUGAAAUUCCUCCAAAUCAAAGGAGGCCUAAGUGUUUCAAACAACCAAAAUAGCUAUACACGAGCAUCUUCAGACCGGUUUGACAGCACAUGCUCCAAAACUUCUUCGUCCCCCAAAGCCCAUACACAUCUGGCCAUGCGACAUCUUCUAUAUCUAAAUAGUUAGGCCCCCACUAACCUAUUUCUCUCAACAUGCAAGCAUGCCACCUCAUCAAGCAACAUGCAUUAGAAAAGACCCACUUCAACAUUCAAUGAGUCAUAGGAAAAGGUUGACUUCAACAUGCAAACAUGCAUGAUAUAUUUAAUAAAUAUUUUACAAAAAUACAAUAAUCAAAUACAAUAAACCAUAUGUAUUUUUAGAUUUAGCUCACAUAUUAUUUCUCCAAAUAUUCUUAUUUCCAUAAAAUUAUUAAUAUCUUAGAAAAAUAUUGUAAAAUAAUCCCGCAACAACGUGCGGGAGAUCGUCUAGUUCAAAUAGCGAGUGUCCCCACGUAUCUUCUUCCGCGCAAGGGGAGGUUUGCCUGCUCUCGAAAAAAAAAAGCUCGAAAGGGGAUGGAGAAUCGGCCUCGGGCCAAAGCCCGAUAUAACUCGCUGGCCCAUUGUUUUCUCGCUCGGCCCAUCGUUAUCCCAUCCGCGCGCGUGGCUGCAAGCCCCUGCCCGCCACGUAGCACAUUCCGCAGCCGCAGCUCGGCUCACCUCAGCCUGCUCACCUCCACCUCUCAAACACGCGCGCCUCCACCUCCUCCCAUGAGAGGCGCGCCAUCCUCUCCAUGGCCUCCUCCUCCCUCCUGCCCCCGCCCACCUUCGCCAACAAGUACCAUGCGCUGCUCCACCCGCACGGCGCCAGGCACCGGCUGACCAGGUGCGGUGCCGCGCCCACCGACGGCGGCGCGGGGGACGAGCUCCUCACCGGCGCGCUGAAUCUGAACCUGGUAAGGCCCGACCCGGUGGUGGCGACCGUGGUCAGCGACACGGGCACCGAUGGCUGGGGUGACCUUUUCACCGAGCUCAAGAGGUCGCUGCAGGCGGACUCGUCCGACCCGGCCGCCAGCGAUUCGUCAUCCAUUGGCGCGGCUGUCCCGGACGGGCUCCUGAGCUCGCCUCUGGCCGGCGAAUCGGCCAAUGCCAACGCGGCCCUCGUCGUCCCGGAAGGGGUCCUGACGAGCUUGCCGGACUCGGCGACGGACGGCGUGGGCGCGGCCGUGGACGCCAUCCCGGACGAGCUCCUCUCCGCGCUGAACCUGGACGCGUCCAGCCCGGCGGUGCGCGUGGCGGACGACGCGCUGUCCCGGAUGGAGGAGCUGACGGCGGGGAUGAACGAGGCGGAGCGGUGGGCGCUGUUCGGGGUGGUGGCGGUGACGUGGCUGUACCUGACGGCGCGGCCCGGGGUGCUGAGCGGCGCGGUGGACACGUACGUGUUGGCGCCGCUGCAGCAGGCGCUGGACACGCUGCUGGGGCGGCGGAGCCUCAAGAUGAGCGACUUCGUGGUGGGCGAGCGCAUCGGGGAGGGGUCGUUCGGGGUGGUAUUCUCCGGCGCCGUGGUGCCCAGGGGCGGCCCCGCCGUCGAGGAGAGGGCCGGCAGGGCCAAGACCAAGCUCCAGCUCGACGACCGGUACAAGGAGAAGGUCAUACUCAAGAAGGUGAGGGUGGAUUGGAAGCGACGCUAGCUCGAUCGGCUCCGCCGGGGUUGCAAGCAAAAAUGGCGACGAAUCUGAUGGGUGGACCGGCGGUGCGUGUUUUGAUUUUGCAGAUAAAAGUGGGGACGGUUGGAGCCAAGGAGUGCGGCGACUACGAGGAGUGGUUCAACUACCGGGUGGCGAGGGCGGCGCCGGAGUCGUGCGCGGAUUUCAUGGGGAGCUUCGUCGCCGACAAGACCAAGUCGGAGUUCGUCAAGGGCGGCAAGUGGCUCGUCUGGAAGUUUGAGGUAUGCUUCUUCAUAAAUAAUGCAAAAUAUUUUUUAAAAGGGAAAAUGGGGAGUUUUAUUCCAAUAUUGUUGGACUACAGUGCUACACUCUGCACGCACGAUUAUAGUUUGCCCAGAAAAAAAAAGAUUAUAGUUUGCCAAGUGAUAUGUUACUGUAUCCAUGUCUCGGAGCAUGACUACGCACAUUGCACCCACUAGCCGACCUGACUACCACAAACAGACACUGCUAAGAUGAAGAAGAAGAAGAAUAUCCAUCAAGGUAGACAGGGCCAUUGCCGUUACAUAUAUUGCCCUAACUAGCGACUUCGACUUCAUGGUAGACUACCACGAAUGGCAAGGUGAGCUAUCUCAAAAACAAAAACAAUGAUAAAAAACAAAGACUAACACCAAAUGGAGCAAUCCACAGUAAAUGCACAAAAGCCAUGCGAUUCCAUGCCAACAAUUGGUCCCACAUAUAAAUUCGAUGGGCUUGCAGCAAUCGAGCCCCCCCCCCCCCACCCACCCACACACGCACACAAUGAACAACGAUUGCAACGCCAUCGCCGCCACCGCAGUUCUGACUCCAUGGCGACACAACGAAACACUGAAGAACCAAUUGAACACGUCGGAAAACCGUAGCGAAAUCAAAGCCCUGCUUGAUGCAAUCAUCGUUACCAAGCAGAUCCCAGCACCUCCAGGCACCCACCUCAUAAAAAAACUAUCAUCCGGCGAUGAUGUCCCCGAGGAGGGGAAAGAUGCAAAAAUGCAUGUGUCACCAGAUCUAGUGAAUCAUAGGUUUUCCUUAAGAGUCAAGGUCGUCGGGCGAGGAGAGGAGCACAACCCCACAUCAAAGCUUUCAAGAUAUUCUAGGGACUUCACACGCAUUGUCGUCGCUGGUUUCAACCAAGACCAGAACAAGAAUUUCUCUCGGACAUCCCUCAACCUCAUGUUGCCCGAAUCACCCUUCCAUGAGUCGCAAUCGUACCACUACAACCCAUACAAAGGACGUGAAAGUGCUUCGAAAGGUGUCGGCCGGUGCACGGAACCGGAGACGACAUGUUCACCCAAGCCCCACCGACGACCACCCCUACUAGGCAACCCCCUAAGUCCACAGGACCCGUAGUGCUGGUUGUGUUCACCAUUCCUCAUGGACCAACACAGUGCCACCAUCAACCACCUUUUAGACUAAAGCACGCUGAGUCGCUGAUAGAGCACGAAGUAGCAGAGAGAUAUCACCGAGGCUGAUAGAGCAGGAAGUAGCAGAGAGAUAUCACCGAGUUACACAAUCCGUCGCCGCCUCGUCAGAGCAACUACAAGGAGGCACCAGAAGAGAGUUGGGGAAUAUGCAAGCCUUUUUUUCCCACAACGGAAUUUUGAUGAGGUAUGUGUGUUAACACGGAUGGAAGGAUUGCCUUAAGAAAAAUACAUGGUUGAAAAUAGGGUAUAGCUCUGUGAGUCUUAGUUAUCCAAGUACAGAAGAUUCUCCAUAGAAAGAAAAUUCAAAUAGGAAAAGAAUGAUUUCUGUCAAAAAUAAAAAACUUGGCCCAUACAGGUCUCGAACCUGUGACCUUCGCGUUAUUAGCACGACGCUCUAACCAGCUGAGCUAAUAGGCCUGUUGUGCUAUGGGUCGAAUAGCACUUUAUUUAUUGAAUGAUAAAGCGUACAUUGGAUGCUUGCUUACGCCGGCAAUGGCCAAUAAACUCCAAACGCGCGCGCUCUGACACUUGAACUUCUUCCUCCGUGCAGGGCGACCGGACGCUGGGCAACUACGUGACGGACCGGGGCUUCCCGGCGAACCUGGAGCCGCUCAUGUUCGGGCGCGCGCUGCGGGGCGUGGACCCGCUCACCCGCGCCGCGCUGGUGGUGAAGCAGGUGAUGCGGCAGCUCGUCACGUCGCUCCGCCGCAUCCACGACACCGGCAUCGUCCACCGCGACAUCAAGCCCUCCAACCUCGUCGUCACCCGCCGGGGCCAGGUCAAGCUCAUCGACUUCGGCGCCGCCACCGACCUGCGCAUCGGCAAGAACUACUUGCCCGACCGCACCCUGCUCGACCCGGACUACUGCCCGCCCGAGCUCUACGUGCUCCCCGAGGAGACCCCCACGCCGCCCGCCGAGCCCAUCGCCGCCAUCCUCUCCCCGAUCCUCUGGCAGCUCAACAGCCCCGACCUCUUCGACAUGUACUCGGCCGGGAUCGUGCUCAUGCAGAUGGCCACGCCGGCCCUCAGGUCCCCCUCCGGCCUCAAGAACUUCAACUCCGAGCUCAAGGCCGCCGGCUACGACCUCAACAGGUGGCGGGAGACCACGCGCCGGAGACCCGACCUGCAGAUCCUGGACCUCGACUCCGGCAGGGGCUGGGACCUGGCCACCAAGCUCAUCGCGCAGCGGGAGAAGGGACGCCUCUCCGCCGCCGCCGCGCUCCGGCACCCCUAUUUCCUGCUCGGCGGUGAUCGGGCCGCCGCCGUCCUGUCAAAGCUGCAGCUCACCAAAUAAUUGAUACGUCUGGCUUCAUUGAACAAGCGACCAAACCCCUGCAUAUAGUUUCUAUAUAGAUGAUAAAUUCUGUCCUGAGUCCUGACAUGAGUGAGACGCAAGAUCACCAAUGGCAUUGGCAAUUUUGUUGUACAGUCAUGAUUUCAUGAGAUCUCAAGGCAUCUGGCUGGUAUCAAUCAAUCAGUACAUCGUUUUUGUGCGAGUUCAUAUGGACAGCGUGUGUGGCGCAAAGUUACAGAUGCUGGGCUAACUUAAUUUACUGCUGAUCGAGUGUGGACGCUACCAAGAAAUCCUACUUCUGCUGGUCAGUUUCUCGAACCUACGUAUGCCGCCGAGCAGGCCCUUGCUGAUGCUCCCAGCCAAUGGAGGCCGUGCUCGUCCUGAAGCUCUAUCGACUGGCAGGCAGGAACAUCAGGUUUUGUCCUCGAAAGACUGUUUACUCAUGACUUCGUCGCCUGGCCGGCAGUAUGGUUCGAACUUCUGCUGAAGAUCGACCUGGUUCCCCCCCACCAGCUUGUCGAUCUCCUUGUUAUCUCUCAAGAAGAUGAAUGUCGGCGUGGCACGUACGUCGAAUUGCGUGACCAGUUCCUGACAAAAAGCAUAUAUCGAAAUGACAUUUAGUUUGGGCAUUCGCUCAAAGGUAAAGUAGCAAUGAAUUGGCGGAACAUUUGUGUACCGGUAGUUCGUCUACGUCCACGGACACGAAAACAAGAUCGGAAUGCUUCAAAGAGAGUUCGGAGUAUGCAGGAGCAGCGAUCCUACACGGGCCACACCAUACUGCGCUGAAUUUUACAACAAGCUGUGCAGUUGAAAAAUGCCAACGUGGUUAAUCAAUACAGUUGAAGGGAUUCGAAAUUGGAAAUUGCAUGCACCUAUAUAUCCUUGUGUCCAGAGUAUGAGUUAGGUUGUAGGCUACUUACUGUUUUAUUGGCGUCAGUUGCAUCUUCCAAUUUCUUCUCCCAACUCUUUAGAUCAGUUAUAAGAGUCACAUUCCCAGAGCUGUAGUCUAGGUGUUCCUCCUCAUCUACAGGGUUCUGCAAAGGGAAGCAUAACCAAAGAACUCGAUUUACUAAUGUAUAACUCGAUAAACGGCUUCCUUACAAUACAGAUGCUAGUGCACGAUUCAGUUAUCAAAGUUGCCAGUUGUAAAUGAGAUGUAUGUGAGUAAAAACUACUCACGCUGCCGCAGCAUCCCAUUGGUUCGAGCAAAUCCGUCAGGAUGUCCGGACUCCUGGACUCUGGUACACGAGGAGGAAAAAGAGGUAUAUUUUCAGUGCUGAUUUCACUAUUUGACUGAAUAAAAGAUAACAUGAUACCAAAUAUAUCAAAUAUGAUUAACAUAGCUAGCUCUAGAUGGCGAAAUGGUGAAUAUAAAUAUGUACUACUACCUCUGUAAAGAAAUAUAAGAGAGUUUAGAUCACUAAGGGAGUACCUCUGUUCUUGAAUAUAAGACGUUUUGACAGUUUAAAUUGAAGUGUCAAAACUUCUUAUAUUUAGGAACAGAGGGUGUACAUACAAAUGGUGAAUGGCACUUCAAUUCUUCCAAACAAUGGCCAGAGACUGCAGAAAUAUGAACAAGAAGAGACCAGCUAAAAACGUGCUGUUUGUUUUAGAUAGAAAUUGAAACAGAUUUGAUGUCCGCAAGUCACAACCACAGCAAAUCCAAUAGAACUGAGAAGUUUGUUUCGACGAUAGCGAAUUUUGCUCAACAUAUUUGCCUGAAUCCGCGUGCUACAGCUUCAGACAAUCCUAGGGUGUCAAUUUUUUCAUCCAAAGGAGAUACAUUCAUUAAAUUGGAGGAGACCUCCAACAACAAUAUGACCGUUUGAACGCCAAAGAAAUGAACUUUUGUUGACCUACUAAUCCUAGAAAAAACAUACGGUUACCACAUUGCUUAGAUGUAUAUUGUAGAUUAAAAAGAAAUGCCAUGAUAUGGAACCGGCAAAUAGCUUUCGGCAGCCAUGCAUGCAGCCUGCUUAUUACUACAUUGCUGAGAGCAGAAUGAAAUGCACAUAUCCAUCAAUCCAUGCAUACCUUGGCAGGACCAAGAAGCCUACGUUCCGCCUCCUGACGAUGGGGGAUCCAACCGAAGAUUGAGAUUUCCCCGCGUUGGAUGCCUGCCGGCCGUCGUCCACGGCAAGCCCACCCCGGCGGGCGGCGGGGGCUCGGAGAGAGGCGGGUGGCGCCGGGGCGGAACGGCCCUUGCCGUUAAUAGCAGCAGCUCAAACCGUCGAAACCGGAGGGCGUGGUGACAGGGGAUCUGCAAAUAGGCCGAGGGAGGGAGCGGCUGGGAACGGGGUUCUGGGAAGGGAAGACGUACGCGCGCGCGCGCGCGGGAGAGGGAGGGCGAGAAAGAAAAGAGGCGACCGACCCCCUCCCACGUCCAAAAUUAGUUUGGUGUGAACUGUGGAGGAAGGUGCCUGCUGUGCUGUCGUUUUAGGCCUGCGAAAUGGAGCAAACUGGACGGCGGCGACGUGCAUGGCCGUUCUGCCGGCGCAGCACAGCACAGCACAGCGCCAGGACGUGACAAGGUAAGGCACACGGCGGUGCUGGCGCCGGUCAGCGGUGGCGGCAGAGCACAGUAUUUCGGGUGGCGGUGGCCCUCCUGGCUCUGCUGGUUUGCUGCUGCGCCUUGACACUCUUAUUUGCCGGCUUGAGUUUGUAUAUGAUUUUUCAUAACCCGUUUUCCACUUAUUAAGCACUGGUGAUUAAGCAUAAGCCGAUUUAUUUUUCAAACACCUACCUUUAAGCACUCAAAACAUCUAAAAAUAAAGGCGCACGCACCGCGCUGCUUGCGAUUUCUCAGCAAACCUGUCGUCUUCACAUGCUACUCUGUUUCAUUCCUAAAUAUAAGUCUUUAUAAAGAUUUUAAUAUUGACUACAUACGGAUGUAUAUAAACAUAGUUUAGAGUGUAGAUUCACUCACUUUGCUCCAUAUUGUAGUCCAUAUUGAAAUCUCUAAAAAGACUUUGCAUUUGUCUUGAAUUAAAGCUAGUAAACUUUUGAAAAAUUACUGACACCUACAAUAUCUAAUCAAUGCUAGUAACAUUAGAUUCAUCAUUGAAUGAAUGGUCAAAGUUUAGAAAGUUUGACUUGGGGCAAAGCAAAUAUGCAGAGCCAACACGUUUUGCAGCGAGCUUCUGGUAUAUUGCAAGUUGCAACUACCCUUGAUGCUUUAGCUGCGAACAACAACAAAACUGAACAUACAUACAUAUCGAAACAUGACCUAAAACCAAAAGAAGAUAAAUCUGGACAAGGUCAUGAAGCAAACAUGUUUUAAUGAACAUUUACCAAAUAACACCAACACCGAUGAAGGUUAACCCAACAAGCAUAGGUGAAUAGGCUGAUAGGCAUGCAUGUCUGCCGAUACUAGUGGCAAUUGAUGAUAGGGCCGACGCCGAAUGCAAUUUACAAUCCUUGAGGAUCGGAUUACACACAACCAGCAACAAAUCGAAGAAACAAUGGCCCAUAAAUAUUUUUCUUGAAGCGACAUUUCAGUUGUCCACGAUGCAGGUCUUCU